UACAAUUUUAAAACAGUUUACAUAUAUUUUAUUCUUUCUAACUCUAAUAGUGCAAAGCUGUUUCUUAUUUUGUUUCUAUUGUUUUCCUGUGUCUUUGGUAUUGUCAGCUUGGGUUGUGUUCACCCUCAACUCAGUGUUCAGGCCAGGUAAUCGUUCAGUAGUAAGCUCAUCUAUUGUUUCUUUUGUUACCUGGUGUUCUCUGGAGUCAGAUACUUUUAAACAUUCAAGCAAGACAGGUGGUUUUCAGCAUUGCAAGUUUUAUAGUUGAUCAAGUUCUGCACGGCACAGUUAUUAACAGCACAGGUAAAUACAAACAUAUAUUUUAAGAUAUAACCAUGUGUUUUAAGUAGUAAACUAGAUUAGUGUAUGCAUAUUUUAUGAUAAGCCUUAAAUUAGAACUUAGCAUGUGUAAGCAGUUGAUAAAACUUAUUCUAUAGCGAACGAGUUAAAGUAGUGUUUAAUAAUGUUUAUAAUUAUAUAGGGAUAUUUGUCUUCUAAGACGAAUAUUUGAUUAGGUUUGAUAAUACAAAUAAGUAAAUAACUAAAUUAGUUAUUAAACUACUUUAUUAUUAAGUGUAUAUAUGAAUAUAUUCUAUGUGUAUAUUUUAUGUGCUCCUAUUUAUAAGUGGUAUUUUGUUGACAGGUUAUCAAUGAUGUAGCACAACCAGCAUCAUUAUUCAAACGACCUGACCCACAGUCGGGUCGUUAUAGAGAUAUAUAUUUGUGUGCGAAUGUUUUUAUAAACAUCGGGAUCUUCACAUCCCUCCAGGUGAUCCCUGAAUAAAGACCUUAAACCCCA
Gigantopelta aegis is the source of this 799-nucleotide long non-coding RNA. RefSeq lists it as uncharacterized. The transcript is spliced from 2 exons. NCBI's taxonomy places the organism in Eukaryota, Metazoa, Mollusca, Gastropoda, Neomphalida, Peltospiridae. The record is from RefSeq and is a predicted model, not a curated record.